UACAGAGGUCUCAACCGUUGUUCGGAUUCAUUGGGCGUAAAGGGUGCGUAGGCGGCGGAGUAAGUCAGGUGUGAAAUCUCGGGGCUCAACCCCGAAACUGCACUUGAUACUGCUUCGCUCGAGUACUGGAGAGGAGAUUGGAAUUUACGGUGUAGCAGUGAAAUGCGUAGAUAUCGUAAGGAAGACCAGUGGCGAAGGCGAAUCUCUGGACAGUUACUGACACUGAGGCACGAAGGCCAGGGGAGCAAACGGG
This 253-nucleotide ribosomal RNA is filed under the name uncultured bacterium. Its description in RNAcentral is "partial 16S ribosomal RNA". It matches the Rfam family "Bacterial small subunit ribosomal RNA", at positions 524 to 776 of the family's 1533-position model. The record is from RNAcentral.